Molecule: transfer RNA, 92 nt
Filed under: Camillea tinctor
Lineage: Eukaryota; Fungi; Ascomycota; Sordariomycetes; Xylariales; Graphostromataceae
Description: tRNA-Arg
Rfam family: tRNA
About the family: Transfer RNA (tRNA) molecules are approximately 80 nucleotides in length.
Source: RNAcentral
GGUCGAGUGGCCCAAUGGCAAGGCGUCUGACUACGAGCUCAUACAGGGUUUAGAUAAUCAGAAGAUUGUGGGUUCGAAUCCCAUCUUGAUCA